RNAcentral lists this long non-coding RNA (1407 nucleotides) under Lupinus mutabilis. Its description in RNAcentral is "partial ncRNA". The record is from RNAcentral. Lineage: Eukaryota; Viridiplantae; Streptophyta; Magnoliopsida; Fabales; Fabaceae.
CCUCUUCUCUCCAUUAUCCGCAGAGGUGCUGAGCCCAAGCAAUUGGCUUUCUCUGCUGCUCUUGGCAUUACAAUGGGAGUAUUUCCUAUAUGCGGUAUGCUGUAAUUAACUUACCUCGAAAUAUAAUGAAGAUUUAUGUUGGAACCCAAUUAAAAAGAUUUAUAUAGUCUUAGGGUCGCAUAGUGGCCUCGACCCGAGCGGAAGUGUGAUGUUUUAUUGUCAAUGUACAAUCUUCAUCAUGUUGCAGUUUGAAUUUGAUUUUUACUUUUGGAACUAUGAUCUUUAUUGUUCGUAUUCAUGUUAAUUGGAUAGCAUAAUGUUUGGUGUUCAGCAGUAAUACUUAUCAAGUUCAGAAUUUUUUACGGAUUUUCUCACUGAGUUGAAACGUAUCUUAGAUCUUCAAAUAGUGGAUACCCUUCUCCCAUUAUUCUAGGGUGAAUUGAAAAUUCUAGUAAACUAUGGCCAGCAACCUAAGGAUAGUAGUACAAACCGAUUAACGUACCGAAUGCAUGAACAUUAAACAAAUGAAGAAUAUGAUUUAAGUUGGAUGUUUACGAAAGUAUAAUGAUGUGACAUUAAAUGUGGUGGUUCUGCUAUGAUUUGUGAGACAUGCUAAUGUUUUCCAAAUAGGUGUCACCGUAUUUCUUUGUGUGAUGGCUAUUGGAUUGCUUGGAUCAUUUUGCCAUGCUCCAACCGUGAUGCUUGCAAACUUUAUUGCUACUCCAAUUGAGUUAAGUCUUGUUGUACCCUUUUUACGCUUUGGUGAAGCUAUCACUGGUGGAUCACAUUUCCCUUUAACAUCCGAUGCUUUAAAGAAAGUUCUUACUGGUCACGCUUCACAUGAAGUCCUGUUAAGUGUUGCACAUGCGAUAUUAGGAUGGAUGGCUGCAUCACCAUUUAUUUUGGGAGCUUUAUAUAUAUUACUUAUACCAAUCUUCAAAUUUCUGGUUCUUAAAUUCUCAAGUGUUCCAUUGAGUCCAAAGAAGCCACUCCAUCCACAUUCAGAGCUAUUGGAGAAUUGAAGAUCAUGAUGGGAUUUCAAUUUCUUCAGAAGCAGGUUCAUAAAGGUAAUCUAAGAAGUUCAGCUAAGUAACAUUGAAGUGAUGUUAGUAGUUUUCAAAUGGAAAUAUAAUAAUGUUAUUUUGACAACAAAUUGUGUUAAGUUUAACAAUGUAAGGUUAUUUGUGAGUUGUAUAGGGGAAUAUGCAUGAAUAUUGCAUAACUAUAUAAGGCCAUUUGCAUAUAUCUCCUAGACCCCAUUAGGGAACUCUAGUAAAUAGGUUGUCCUUCUAUAGGGUAUUGGUUAUGUAUUCACGUGAAUCAGUGUUCUAAGAGCAUCUCCAAUGGUUGUUUGUAACUCAUUCUUAUGAAAAUAAGGAUAUUUUUAUUCUGUUUUCCAAAAAAAAA